UAAAUUAAUUAUAUUAGUUUGUUGAUAUAUAUCAUUUUUUAUUUAUUUUUAAGCAUCUCGGAGUAAUCGAAUGGCUUUAACUAACCAAGACCGCGCAGAAAUCGUUGCUAAAUUUGCUCGUGCAGAA
Regulatory RNA element from Acinetobacter brisouii CIP 110357, 127 nucleotides. It matches the Rfam family "Ribosomal S15 leader". From Rfam's summary of the family: The E. coli Ribosomal S15 gene 5' UTR can form two alternative structures. One that is a series of three hairpins, The other includes a pseudoknot. NCBI's taxonomy places the organism in Bacteria, Pseudomonadati, Pseudomonadota, Gammaproteobacteria, Moraxellales, Moraxellaceae. The record is from Rfam.